CCGAUAUAGCUCAGUUGGCCAGAGCACGUGAUUUGUAAUCUCGGGGUCGUGGGUUCAAAUCCCUCUAUCGG
RNAcentral lists this transfer RNA (71 nucleotides) under human gut metagenome. It matches the Rfam family "tRNA". From Rfam's summary of the family: Transfer RNA (tRNA) molecules are approximately 80 nucleotides in length. RNAcentral also lists the same sequence under 2 other names. The record is from RNAcentral.